RNAcentral lists this ribosomal RNA (459 nucleotides) under ectomycorrhizal fungal sp. AR-Ny3. RNAcentral describes it as "eukaryotic LSU rRNA". The stretch from base 55 to 209 matches the Rfam family "5.8S ribosomal RNA". Lineage: Eukaryota; Fungi. The record is from RNAcentral.
CCAUAGAAUGUAAAUAUAUGUCCUCGCCUUAAAAAGCGUUGAUAAACUUAUACAACCUUUCAACAACGGAUCUCUUGGCUCUCGCAUCGAUGAAGAACGCAGCGAAAUGCGAUAAGUAAUGUGAAUUGCAGAUUUUCAGUGAAUCAUCGAAUCUUUGAACGCACCUUGCGCUCCUUGGUAUUCCGAGGAGCAUGCCUGUUUGAGUGUCAUUAAAUUCUCAACUCUGAUCGAUUUGUUUCGACUUCGGAGCUUGGAUUUGGAGCGUGCUGGCGUCGGUCGGCUCCUCUUAAAUGCAUCAGCGGAAUCUAACGUUUCGGACGUCAGUGUGAUAAUCAUGUUGGCGCUGUCUGUCUGAUCUGAAAGCCCGCUCACAAUGGUCUUCGGACAACUUCAUAUCAAAUUUGACCUCAAAUCAGGUAGGACUACCCGCUGAACUUAAGCAUAUCAAUAAGCGGAGGA